ACGGCCCGGCUCGCCGCUCACACGCUCUCGGCUCACGCUCCCCGCUCUCACGCACCCCUCUCCCCACUCCCCAGCGAACUGGCUCCCCGCUCACACGCUCUCGGCUCAGCGGCUCACGCUCCCCACUCACACGCACCCCUCUCCCCGCUCCCCAACGGCCCGGCUCGCCGCUCACACGCACCCCUCUCCCCGCUCCCCAAUGGCCAGGCUCCCCGCUCCCCAACGGCCCGGCAAGCCGCUCACGCGCCGCCCUCACCCCAGUGCGCCGGGCGGCGCUCCGGCUCUCACAACCCCCGACGCCGGCCCGCGCUCCCCGGCCGCACGCCCCCGGCGCAGGCGCCCGCCGGGCUCGCCGCCCACACAACCCCGCCCCCAGGCGCAGGCAGGUGCUGGCCGCUCACACGCCCCCUGCGCGCCGCCGACCCUCGCAGAGGCCCGGCCUAAGCUCUCCGCCCGGCGCGCGCGCCGUGUUCUGCGAGAAGCCCGUGGAGCCGGCCCGGGAGCUGCCCCGCGCGGCCGAGGGAAGGCUGCCUGAGGCGGGGCGCCGUGAGGGCGGGGGCGGGCGGGCGUCUCCCGGGGCCGCUGCUCUGGGGCUGCACAACCGCGUGCGAGAUGGCGGGUGUGCCUGUGGUUCCACUCCGUGGCUGUGGGCAGGUCGGUUUCGGCGGCUUCCCGCGCGCCGGGGACGCCGCCACUUCCUCAGCGACCCCGGCCGCCCCGCGUCCUCGAAGCCUCUGUGCGCGCGGACUGCGCGGUGGGCCUCUCGCCCCGGUGGCGCGCAGAGAGACCGGGAGACGGGCUGCUGGAGCUCAGGAGGAUGGACUGAGGCAAGUUCUGGAGGAGGUGAAAGCUUUAUACGAGCAAAACCUACCUGAUGUGUAAGUUGGUAAGUUGAUCUUGUAAAACAGUUUAAGAAAUAUGAUACUGAUGUCAGAUCAUCUUAACAUUAGUUUUUAGAUAUGGUUUUUUUUUUUUUUUUUUUAAUUCUCUGUGAGCCUGAUCAUACCCUAGCUAUACAGAAGCAGAAGGAUUUGUGUUAAUGGUUGUUAUGUCUCUGGGGACCUAAUAGUGCUGGCACAUGGUAGCUGUUCGGUAAUGCUUCUUGUCUGACUGGUGUGACUUGAAAGGAGUUAGGGUGGAUGCAAAAGAGAUGACCCAGGAGCAAGUAACAGACCUGAUGAGUGAAGUGUGUUGCUUCCGCUACUUGUUUUCAUCAGGUGAGGCCUUAGUGGGUUUAAAGGGAGAACAGGCAGUUUGCAAAUUUAGCAGGAGUAGCAGUGACUUCCGAAAGCUCGAGUGAAGUUGGCUGGGAACUCGUGCUGCGGAACACUACAGCUUGGUAGGCUAGAGGGUUCUGGAGUUGCAGACUGUUUAGAGCCAAGCAUGGUAGUUGGCACAGAGGAGAAUUUGAGCUGAAUGACAGACUUCAGAGGACCUGCGAUUGGGUGAAGAAGACUACUGACUGCUGGAGGAAAAUUGAGUUAUUGAGAGCUCUCCUGCAGAGAAGUCUGUCUGCAACUUGAGAUUUCGUCCCUGGCCUUGUUAGGUAGUGUUUUCAUCAGUUAGUUGGGCAUAGGAAUCAGUAGCGUGUUGUUAGGGUGUGUGGAGUACACAGAACAGUAGGAGCACUUUGCAGUGACUGUGUUUAAGGAUAGAUACUGGUGAACGAGAAACUUAUCUGCAAGAGGUCUGCAGUAAAUGUAAGGGAAAUGGAAAGUCCUGCACUCAGGUUCCCAAGUCCUUCAUUUGUUCAUGCAACAGAUAUGCACUCAGCAGUUAUGAGCUGAUAAAGGGCUCUGGUGUUUCAGUUGUAAACAGCAGAAUCAAGAGGUUUGCCCCUGUGGCCCUCAAAACAGUGUCAUGCAGAAGGCAGAGGUUAAAUGCAGGUAAAGCGGGUCCGAGUACCUGCCAUGAAGGAAAAUACCACACUGGGAGAGAGAGUCAUGCACUGAAAAUAUUGGUAGAUAGAGAAAUCCUGGAAAUUCUCUCCGAGGAAGAGACUCUUCAGCUGGAGCUUGAAGAAGUGGGUUUAGCGAUGAAGUAACUGUGGGCAGAGAGCAUUCUUUGGAGGGAACAGCAUGUGCAAAGGCCCUUGAGUCUUGAAAGAGAAUGGGAUGCCCAGGGACCUGGUCAUUCCCAAAGGCCAGUGUGGCUGGAACUUAGUGAGCAGGCCGAGGGCAACACCAGGGGAGAUUUCUGAGCAUGUGGGGCUGGUGGUGGCAUGUUUGUGUUCUGAGGACCACCCUGGCCCGUGUGGAUAGUGCAUGGUGGUACUGAGAGGAAGAAUGGUGGUCAUGGAGGUGACAGGAGGGGUGAGCCAGACUAGAGGAAAGGAGAGCAGGUUACACACCUGUUUAGGAGGUGACUGAAUAUGCUUUGGUCCAGUAAGGGACUGAUUUUCCUGUAUUCAUACCAUAGGGAAAUACAGUAUCCAAAUUCUAUGCCCUAGCCUCCUAGUUUGGUUCUGGGCAGGACAGUAACUAUUACCAGUUUCUGGUUAAAAUUCUUUGCCAGAAGAAAUCUAUUCUUAUUUAAUUGUUCAUGUGGAAAUGUGACUUUUUUUAAGGAAGUUCUUGUAUUACUCAUCAAGAACUUUGAUGUUAAGUUGGGUGUAUUUUAUUUAUGCUAUUUCAUUAUAAUCAAGAACACAUUGUAAGCAGUGUGGAGAAUAAAUCUAACGUUUGUAGAGUGGCA
Molecule: long non-coding RNA, 2694 nt
Filed under: Bos indicus x Bos taurus (hybrid cattle)
Lineage: Eukaryota; Metazoa; Chordata; Mammalia; Artiodactyla; Bovidae
Description: lncRNA (ENSBIXG00000029571.1)
Source: RNAcentral